UAAGAUUUUAAAAAACAUCUAUAAAAAGGUCUUAAAGCAGUCAAUUCAAUCAUUCGUUCUAAAACUUACUGAAAGUAUAAGAAAAGUGUCUUCUUUCCUGUUCUGCAAAAGAUUGCCGCAAUGAAAUUCCUUUUACUGUUCACCGUUGUCAUUAUCCUACUGUUUGAUAAUGUUUGCCGCUCGAGUGGUGAACAGCCAGUGGAAAAUUUUUCUCCUGCACGAGUAAGAGUACGCCGUUCUGAAGAGUGGGCGGAAUGCAUGGCUAUUUGUACACCAGGUUGCCUAAUACCAAAUUGCAAUGAUUGGUGCCUCGGCGUCUGCUGUAGAGACUUUACUGCACCUGCAUGUGCUACAAUCGGUCAAACAAAGUAGGGGUCCGUAUGUUCUUGCGGAUUUGCGCUACCUUCAGGGUUUAUAUACUUUGGUUAAAUGUAUGUGAUGGUUGAAAUAAAAUAAAUUUUGAUGAGA
Molecule: long non-coding RNA, 468 nt
Organism: Bradysia coprophila
Lineage: Eukaryota; Metazoa; Arthropoda; Insecta; Diptera; Sciaridae
Source: RefSeq, a predicted model, not a curated record